RNAcentral lists this long non-coding RNA (1316 nucleotides) under Sus scrofa (pig). RNAcentral's name for it is "lncRNA (ENSSSCG00030025665.1)". Lineage: Eukaryota; Metazoa; Chordata; Mammalia; Artiodactyla; Suidae. The record is from RNAcentral.
GGCGGAGAGGGUGAUGAUGCCAGAGAGCAGAGACGCGCGACACAGGUAUGGAAGACAGUGGAGGCCUCGCAGAGCGGAGGACCCGGGCAGUGUGUGAGAGGAGGGGUGUGGGCGGGGCUAAAUGGAGGUUUGCCCAAAGGAGACGUCAAGGGUGGAGGGAGGCCCGGCGAGUCUGGGGGAGGAGAGGCUCUUAGAGGAGGGGGCUGGAGGCGGGGUUGAAAGAAACCCAGUACCCGAGGAAAGAUUGAAGCCGGGCAGAAGGAGGCGGGCCCGGAAGCCGAGCCGGGAGAAGGGGCCCAAAGGUGGCCACUCUGGGAAGGAGCCGGAAGGAGGCGGGACCGAAAGGGUGACCGGGGGUGUGUGUAGGGCUGGGACUGGAGGUGGGCGGGACCUGAAGACGCGGCCCAAACAAGUUGGCGGUGGGCAGUGCUCCAGGGAUGCGGAAGAGAAGUAGGAAGGAAGGCAAGGUCCUUUCACUUACAGGGAACCUGGUGUGUGCACUGGGCGAGGAUCCACGCUGCCAGUUGGGUCUGGGAGAAGACACUGUCAUGAGGACGUGUCUGGGGAGGACCUGAAAAAAGGUUAAAUUCAAAUAACUUUACCCUUUUGGAAAUUUUUUGUAACUUGAUGUGGGUCUGGAUGUGUGUCCUCCCUCCUAAAUAUUUCUCCUGUGAGAACUCUCACCUAGAUCCGUGUUCUAGCCUCCACUGUGAGGACAGUAAGACCUUCAGCCCUCAGCUAUAGACUUGCAUUGUCCGGCCUAUUAUUGUAUUUUUCCCAUCACAUCCCCCAAAACCUGCCUAGGAGACAGGAUUUCCCCAGCACUGGACACAGUUUGAAAUUAAUCUUGCCCAGACCAGCCAUUAUAGCUACACUUGUGUAGUUUGAUAACCUCUGACUCUUCCCUUGAAAAGGAAGAGAAAUCAAAUUAGAGUUGAUGACAACUAAGACCAAGACCAGGAAUGUUCUCCCCCCACCUCUUCUAACUUCUGGUUCCUUCUUAUGCCUUACAUCUCUGAUUAAAAUCACCUCCUCAGGAGUUCCCGUCGUGGCGCAGUGGUUAACGAAUCCGACUAGGAACCAUGAGGUUGCGGGUUCGGUCCCUGCCCUUGCUCAGUGGGUUAACGAUCCGGCGUUGCCGUGAGCUGUGGUGUAGGUUGCAGACGCGGCUCGGAUCCUGCGUUGCUGUGGCUCUGGCGUGGGCCGGUGGCUACAGCUCCGAUUCAACCCCUAGCCUGGGAACCUCCAUAUGCCGCGGGAGCGGCCCAAGAAAUAGCAACAACAACAACAACAACAACAACAAAAAAAAAAAAAAA